Molecule: long non-coding RNA, 320 nt
Filed under: Mus musculus (house mouse)
Lineage: Eukaryota; Metazoa; Chordata; Mammalia; Rodentia; Muridae
Description: alncRNA-EC68
Source: RNAcentral
UCCUUUGUGUAACAGGCAGCAAGGAAGGUUUUAACAGGACUGUGUGACCAGUCUAGAUGUAAAUUUCAGAGAUACAGGAGGACUAUGAGGAGGAAGAAAAGCAGGAGGGAACAAGUUGAGUCUUCUUCCUUCAUCCAGGAUUCCAAAACAGGGGGAUGUGGAGAAAGGACAAUGUAUGCGAAAGCCUGCAGACGUGCACACAGUAUGGAACACAGUUACAGAAAUAGAGUGUCUGAGGCUCGCUCGACCCGCUGCGCCUUGGGAGAGAAGAUGAACCCCAUAAGGGGAGCCGGGAGAGAAGAAACCAGAUGAAUAUUCAG